CAUUAUGUAGCUUAAUUAAAGCAUCUCGCUUACACCGAGAAAAUACCCGUGAAACCCGGGCCAUUUUGA
Molecule: transfer RNA, 69 nt
Filed under: Dendropsophus haraldschultzi
Lineage: Eukaryota; Metazoa; Chordata; Amphibia; Anura; Hylidae
Description: tRNA-Val
Rfam family: tRNA
About the family: Transfer RNA (tRNA) molecules are approximately 80 nucleotides in length.
Source: RNAcentral